Molecule: ribosomal RNA, 796 nt
Filed under: uncultured bacterium
Lineage: Bacteria
Description: bacterial SSU rRNA
Rfam family: Bacterial small subunit ribosomal RNA
Source: RNAcentral
UGAUCCUGGCUCAGGACGAACGCUGGCGGCGUGCCUAACACAUGCAAGUCGAGCGGGGACAGUGGAGUAGCAAUACGAAGCUGUUCUAGCGGCGGACGGGUGAGUAACGCGUGAGCAACCUGUCCCAAACAGGGGGAUAACGAACCGAAAGGUUCACUAAUACCGCAUGAGACCACAUUGCCACAUGGCAGAGGGGUCAAAGGAGUAAUCCGGUUUGGGGUGGGCUCGCGUCUGAUUAGCUAGUUGGUGAGGUAAAGGCCCACCAAGGCAACGAUCAGUAGCCGACCUGAGAGGGUGAUCGGCCACAUUGGAACUGAGAGACGGUCCAAACUCCUACGGGAGGCAGCAGUGGGGAAUAUUGGGCAAUGGGCGAAAGCCUGACCCAGCAACGCCGCGUGAAGGAAGAAGGUUUUCGGAUCGUAAACUUCUAUCCUUGGUGAAGAUAAUGACGGUAGCCAAGAAGGAAGCCCCGGCUAACUACGUGCCAGCAGCCGCGGUAAUACGUAGGGGGCAAGCGUUGUCCGGAAUGAUUGGGCGUAAAGGGCGCGUAGGCGGCCUGGUAAGUCUGGAGUGAAAGUCCUGCUUUUAAGGUGGGAAUUGCUUUGGAUACUGUCGGGCUUGAGUGCAGGAGAGGUAAGUGGAAUUCCCGGUGUAGCGGUGAAAUGCGUAGAGAUCGGGAGGAACACCAGUGGCGAAGGCGACUUACUGGACUGUAACUGACGCUGAGGCGCGAAAGUGUGGGGAGCAAACAGGAUUAGAUACCCUGGUAGUCCACACUGUAAACGAUGAAUGCUAG